GGAGAAAAGACAUCAUCCUCUUCUAUAAUCCCCAUCUGUAAUUGGACUAACAACUGGACCAGUGAAUGCAGGCAACUUACUCUCCAUUCGACCUUGCAGGUCACACCAUGGUCUCAAGAGGGAAAAUGAGUGCUCUAUGGAUUGAACAGAAAAAGGUGAAUCAAAACUCCAACCAUCUGUAUGAGGGUCUGGAUGGAUAAAGGAUGCCCACUGGAGCUGGAAAUGAUGGAUCAGGUGGAUCCACACUUGAACCAUCUGUAUGAUGAUCUGCACCCACUGGAUCUGUAAAUGGUGGUGCAGAAUUCUGGCCUGGUGUUUGGUCCCCCCUUUCUCUGGCUUGUGUCUCCAUCAUCAUUACACUCUUGUCAGUGUAAUAGUAUCGUCGUCUGCGUACCAG
Molecule: long non-coding RNA, 397 nt
Organism: Paramisgurnus dabryanus
Lineage: Eukaryota; Metazoa; Chordata; Actinopteri; Cypriniformes; Cobitidae
Source: RefSeq, a predicted model, not a curated record